GGACAUGGAGGAGGCCGACCUGCUGAAGGAGAGGCUCCAGGCCAUCAUGGACAAAAGAAGAAUCCAGGAAGAAAUUGCCAAGAAGAGGAGACAGAUAGAAGAAGAGAAGUUAAAACUCCAGUACAUAAAGAAGAAGGCUUUGAGGGAGCAGUGGCUGAUGGACGGUCUGAGCCAGCAGUCGGAGGAGGAGCAGGAGGCCAUGAGGCUUCAAGCUCAAGACGAACAGCAGCAGAGUGACCACCUGCAGAGCAACAU
Pundamilia nyererei is the source of this 255-nucleotide long non-coding RNA. RefSeq lists it as uncharacterized. The transcript is spliced from 3 exons. Lineage: Eukaryota; Metazoa; Chordata; Actinopteri; Cichliformes; Cichlidae. The record is from RefSeq and is a predicted model, not a curated record.